GACGAACGCUGGCGGCGUGCUUAACACAUGCAAGUCGAACGGUAAGGCUCCAGCUUGCUGGGGUACACGAGUGGCGAACGGGUGAGUAACACGUGGGUGACCUGCCCUGCACUUCGGGAUAAGCCUGGGAAACUGGGUCUAAUACCGGAUAGGACCGCACCGUGAGGGUGUGAUGGAAAGUUUUUUCGGUGUGGGAUGGGCCCGCGGCCUAUCAGCUUGUUGGUGGGGUAAUGGCCUACCAAGGCGGCGACGGGUAGCCGGCCUGAGAGGGUGGACGGCCACAUUGGGACUGAGACACGGCCCAGACUCCUACGGGAGGCAGCAGUGGGGAAUAUUGCACAAUGGGCGGAAGCCUGAUGCAGCGACGCCGCGUGGGGGAUGACGGCCUUCGGGUUGUAAACUCCUUUCACCAUCGACGAAGGGUUUCUGACGGUAGAUGGAGAAGAAGCACCGGCUAACUACGUGCCAGCAGCCGCGGUAAUACGUAGGGUGCGAGCGUUGUCCGGAAUUACUGGGCGUAAAGAGCUCGUAGGUGGUUUGUCGCGUCGUCUGUGAAAUUCCGGGGCUUAACUCCGGGCGUGCAGGCGAUACGGGCAUAACUUGAGUACUGUAGGGGAGACUGGAAUUCCUGGUGUAGCGGUGAAAUGCGCAGAUAUCAGGAGGAACACCGGUGGCGAAGGCGGGUCUCUGGGCAGUAACUGACGCUGAGGAGCGAAAGCAUGGGGAGCGAACAGGAUUAGAUACCCUGGUAGUCCAUGCCGUAAACGGUGGGCGCUAGGUGUGGGUUUCCUUCCACGGGAUCCGUGCCGUAGCUAACGCAUUAAGCGCUCCGCCUGGGGAGUACGGCCGCAAGGCUAAAACUCAAAGGAAUUGACGGGGGCCCGCACAAGCGGCGGAGCAUGUGGAUUAAUUCGAUGCAACGCGAAGAACCUUACCUGGGCUUGACAUAUACAGGAUCGCGCCAGAGAUGGUGUUUCCCUUGUGGCUUGUAUACAGGUGGUGCAUGGUUGUCGUCAGCUCGUGUCGUGAGAUGUUGGGUUAAGUCCCGCAACGAGCGCAACCCUUGUCUUAUGUUGCCAGCACGUUGUGGUGGGGACUCGUAAGAAACUGCCGGGGUUAACUCGGAGGAAGGUGGGGAUGACGUCAAAUCAUCAUGCCCCUUAUGUCCAGGGCUUCACACAUGCUACAAUGGUCGGUACAGUGGGUUGCCAGUCCGUGAGGGCGAGCUAAUCCCGCAAAGCCGGUCUCAGUUCGGAUCGGGGUCUGCAACUCGACCCCGUGAAGUCGGAGUCGCUAGUAAUCGCAGAUCAGCAACGCUGCGGUGAAUACGUUCCCGGGCCU
This 1341-nucleotide ribosomal RNA is filed under the name uncultured bacterium. Its description in RNAcentral is "partial 16S ribosomal RNA". It matches the Rfam family "Bacterial small subunit ribosomal RNA", at positions 28 to 1381 of the family's 1533-position model. The record is from RNAcentral.